GUCGAACGGAAACGAUGGGAGCUUGCUCCCAGGCGUCGAGUGUCGGACGGGUGAGUAAUACUUAGGAAUCUGCCCAUUAGUGGGGGACAACUCGGGGAAACUCGAGCUAAUACCGCAUACGCCCUACGGGGGAAAGCGGGGGAUCUUCGGACCUCGCGCUAAUGGAUGAGCCUAAGUCGGAUUAGCUAGUUGGUGAGGUAAAAGCUCACCAAGGCGACGAUCCGUAGCUGGUCUGAGAGGACGAUCAGCCACACUGGGACUGAGACACGGCCCAGACUCCUACGGGAGGCAGCAGUGGGGAAUAUUGGACAAUGGGGGCAACCCUGAUCCAGCAAUGCCGCGUGUGUGAAGAAGGCCUGCGGGUUGUAAAGCACUUUCAGUAGAGAAGAAAAGCUUAGGCUUAAUACGCCUGAGUCUUGACGUAACCUACAGAAGAAGCUCCGGCUAACUCCGUGCCAGCAGCCGCGGUAAUACGGAGGGAGCGAGCGUUAAUCGGAAUUACUGGGCGUAAAGCGCGCGUAGGCGGCUUUGUAAGUCGGAUGUGAAAGCCCUGGGCUUAACCUGGGAAUGGCAUUCGAUACUGCAGAGCUAGAGUAUG
Molecule: ribosomal RNA, 598 nt
Filed under: uncultured bacterium
Lineage: Bacteria
Description: bacterial SSU rRNA
Rfam family: Bacterial small subunit ribosomal RNA
Source: RNAcentral